RNAcentral lists this ribosomal RNA (720 nucleotides) under uncultured bacterium. Its description in RNAcentral is "bacterial SSU rRNA". It matches the Rfam family "Bacterial small subunit ribosomal RNA", at positions 28 to 776 of the family's 1533-position model. The record is from RNAcentral.
GAUGAACGCUGGCGGCGUGCCUAACACAUGCAAGUCGAGCGAUCUUCUUCGGAAGAGAGCGGCGGACGGGUGAGUAACGCGUGGGUAACCUGCCCUGUACACACGGAUAACAUACCGAAAGGUAUGCUAAUACGGGAUGAUAUAUGAAAGUUGCAUGGCUUUUAUAUCAAAGCUCCGGCGGUACAGGAUGGACCCGCGUCUGAUUAGCUAGUUGGUAAGGUAACGGCUUACCAAGGCGACGAUCAGUAGCCGACCUGAGAGGGUGAUCGGCCACACUGGAACUGAGACACGGUCCAGACUCCUACGGGAGGCAGCAGUGGGGAAUAUUGCACAAUGGGCGAAAGCCUGAUGCAGCAACGCCGCGUGAGCGAUGAAGGCCUUCGGGUCGUAAAGCUCUGUCCUCAAGGAAGAUAAUGACGGUACUUGAGGAGGAAGCCCCGGCUAACUACGUGCCAGCAGCCGCGGUAAUACGUAGGGGGCUAGCGUUAUCCGGAAUUACUGGGCGUAAAGGGUGCGUAGGCGGUCUUUCAAGCCAGAAGUGAAAGGCUACGGCUCAACCGUAGUAAGCUUUUGGAACUGUAGGACUUGAGUGCAGGAGAGGAGAGUAGAAUUCCUAGUGUAGCGGUGAAAUGCGUAGAUAUUAGGAGGAAUACCAGUAGCGAAGGCGGCUCUCUGGACUGUAACUGACGCUGAGGCACGAAAGCGUGGGGAGCAAACAGG